RNAcentral lists this ribosomal RNA (344 nucleotides) under uncultured bacterium. RNAcentral's name for it is "bacterial SSU rRNA". It matches the Rfam family "Bacterial small subunit ribosomal RNA", at positions 93 to 437 of the family's 1533-position model. The record is from RNAcentral.
UAGUGGCGGACGGGUGAGUAACGCGUGAGGAACCUGCCUUUCAGUGGGGGACAACAGUUGGAAACGACUGCUAAUACCGCAUAAUGUAUUCUGACCGCAUGAUCGGAAUACCAAAGAUUUAUUGCUGAAAGAUGGCCUCGCGUCUGAUUAGAUAGUUGGUGAGGUAACGGCCCACCAAGUCGACGAUCAGUAGCCGGACUGAGAGGUUGAACGGCCACAUUGGGACUGAGAUACGGCCCAGACUCCUACGGGAGGCAGCAGGGGGGAAUAUUGGGCAAUGGGGGAAACCCUGACCCAGCAACGCCGCGUGAAGGAAGAAGGCUUUCGGGUUGUAAACUUCUUUU